Oncorhynchus keta (chum salmon) is the source of this 688-nucleotide long non-coding RNA. RefSeq lists it as uncharacterized. NCBI's taxonomy places the organism in Eukaryota, Metazoa, Chordata, Actinopteri, Salmoniformes, Salmonidae. The transcript is spliced from 3 exons. The record is from RefSeq and is a predicted model, not a curated record.
GUGGUCUGGUUGUCAUCAGCAGCAGUAGAGGGGACUGUGGUCUGGUUGUCAUCAGCAGCAGUAGAGGGGAAGGUGGUCUGGUUGUCAUCAGCAGCAGUAGAGGGGAAGGUGGUCUGGUUGUCAUCAGCAGCAGUAGAGGGGAAGGUGGUCUGGUUGUCAUCAGCAGCAGUAGAGGGGAAGGUGGUCUGGUUGUCAUCAGCAGCAGUAGAGGGGAAGGUGGUCUGGUUGUCAUCAGCAGCAGUAGAGGGGAAGGUGGUCUGGUUGUCAUCAGCAGCAGUAGAGGGGAAGGUGGUCUGGUUGUCAUCAGCAGCAGUAGAGGGGAAGGUGGUCUGGUUGUCAUCAGCAGCAGUAGAGGGGAAGGUGGUCUGGUUGUCAUCAGCAGCAGUAGAGGGGAAGGUGGUCUGGUUGUCAUCAGCAGCAGUAGAGGGGAAGGUGGUCUGGUUGUCAUCAGCAGCAGUAGAGGGGAAGGUGGUCUGGUUGUCAUCAGCAGCAGUAGAGGGGAAGGUGGUCUGGUUGUCAUCAGCAGCAGUAGAGGGGAAGGUGGUCUGGUUGUCAUCAGCAGCAGUAGAGGGGAAGGUGGUCUGGUUGUCAUCAGCAGCAGUAGAGGGGAAGGUGGUCUGGUUGUCAUCAGCAGCAGUAGAGGGGAAGGUGGUCUGGUUGUCAUCAGCAGCAGUAGAGGGGAAGGUGG